CACACUAGAUUCAAAGUUUUAAAGAAUAUCUCGAAACAUAAAAUUAUAGAUGUUAUUUAUUCGAACCCUUGAGCUAAUUUAAAUACGUUUUUUUAGGACUAACAAAUCUAAAAAGACAUACAUUCUCUCUUUAGUGACCAUUACCCAUCUUUCACUCUCUGCCUCUUGUGCCCACUACAUCUCUCUUGCCUGUCAAAAGAACUCAUGGUGUCCAAGCUCUUCAAUUUCUCAUUCCAACUGAACAAAAUCUUUCACCCAUGUCUUUAUCUCUUUUGGAGAUUAGUUCAUCAGUAAGGCCAAAAAUCUCAUCUUAAAUUACUAUGAUUUCCCUUUCAAUUGAAGGCUGAAAAUAACCACUAAAAAUUCUCAAAGAGAAAGUGCCUUUCUCUCUCUAAAUUAUCUCUUUCUUCUAAGUUCUAACAAUUGAGCUAGCACUGAGAGAAAGAAGGCAUGGCUAAGUAAUUUCAAAACCCUAAAACCCACUAAAAUUAUUUAAACUUCCUCUGUAUUGAUAGCUGAAAAUAAACAUGGAACGGGGUUUUGGUCACACUACUGAGAUUGGACCAAGCUUGCAAGAUGAGAGAGAGAUAGAGGACUUCAAAACCAGGUUGGAAUACGACGGUUUGGGGAAAUAGACAGAGAGGUAAUGGGGCACGAGAUAGGGAAAGUGGGGGAGGGCUUUAAGGAGGUCGAGAGAGGGAGACGUAAUGGGCAAGAGAGAGAGAGUUUUGACGGCUACUGGUCUAUGGUGGUUUGGGAAAAGAGAGAGGUAAUGGGGGUAGAGAGAGAAAGAGGUUGGAAAAAUGGGGAAGUAAAGAGAGAGAGGUAGAGGAG
RNAcentral lists this long non-coding RNA (834 nucleotides) under Amborella trichopoda. RNAcentral's name for it is "long non-coding RNA (ATRI_LNC004276)". The record is from RNAcentral. Lineage: Eukaryota; Viridiplantae; Streptophyta; Magnoliopsida; Amborellales; Amborellaceae.